UUUGGAAAAAUACCUACACAGUUCUUUUGCCCAUCUUUUUUAUUGAGUUGUUUGGGUUUUUUAUGUUGAAUUGUUUGAGCUGCUUAUAAAUGUGGGAUAUUAACCUCUUGUUGGUCAAAUCAUUUACAAAUAUUUUCUCCCAUUCAGUAGGUUGUCUUUUUGUUUAGUCAGUGGUUUCCUUUGCUGUGCAAAAGUUUUAAGUUUAAUUAGCUCCUAUUAGUUUAUUUUUGCUUUUGUUUCCUUUGCCUUAGGAUUCGCUGUCAAUUGUUAAAUGCUUUAUUAUUAUAUGACAAUUGGCAAUAAAUUCUGACAACUUAGUGUAAAAUAGUAGCAUGCAUUUUAAGUAUAUCUGAGUUUGGUGUAAAAGGGAAAGAGUAUAAAGGAGUGUACCAUUAUCAGCUAUUUCUGCCCCAGAACUGGGACUACCCUACCCAAGUUCCUCUUAAAUGAGUAACAUUUCAAGUACAUGUGUGCUUCCUACAUACGCUGUAAGAAACCAGAAUUGAUUUUUUAAAAAGAUACUAAAACAUUGUAAGUUAAAAAUGGACUUAAAAAACAUAAGCACACAUAAGAAUAUGUAUGUACUUUAAUGUCUAAGCAUCAAAACACUGAUAUAAAUGUUAGAGGAGAAAAUUAUUAAGGCUCUAAAUUAACUCAAAUGUUUCUGUGAGAAGAAAGGUAUAACAAUAAUAUUCAUAAUGAGUUGCUGGAUUAUAGUUACAUAGCUCUCCCCUUAAGAUAUUUUAUAGGUUUAGUGGCAGAGUAUGAAUCAUUCUUAAUAAAUAUAGUGAGCAACUGCCAGCAUCCAGAAGAAGCAUUAGGAAGGUAUUAAGAGUAUAGAUUAUUAAGGCAUAAGGGAAUUUACAAUCAGUGAGAAAAAUAAGCAAGUUACAUUAAUGAGCUGUACAAAAAAAGCUUUUAAUAAAAUCAGUAUGUUUAAGCAGCAAGAAGAAUUAAGUGGUGAAGUUUGUGUUAUGUAUAGCCGUGUAUAAUAAUAAUGUGGAAGGAAAACAAGUAGCUGCUACUCAGUAGUAAAUUCUGUGUGUACAUGUUUUUAAAAUUUAAAGAAAUAUGUAGGCCUCCCUCAAUUUAUGCAAUAUGUUUCAUUGGCAUCUGAGAUUUGCUUUGGAAGUUUAUUGAGAGUUUGCAGAGAGACAGAGAGGAACUGCAAAAGCAUAAAGAUGUCAGAAAGCAUGGAGUUAUGGGGAACAUUGAGUCAUUUAGUGUGAAUAGACUGUAAAGUUUUUUUGAGAGAGGGGCAGCAAGAGAUGAGACUGGAGAUAGGGCUAGACAAUGAGGGACUUUAAGUCAUGUUCCCAAGCUUGGGCAUUAUUUUGUUGAUAAAGGGAGACAAUGAAGGGUUUUGCACACUUUUGAAAGACUGUACUUGCUGCAACUAGUAGAUGCAUUGAAAGGAGGUAAAACGAGAAAUUACUGGAUCAGUGAGGACAUUUAUACAAGUCUGUUAGAAUGAGGACCUGAUGAUCUACACAGCAGUACAAUACGAAUGAACUGGAUAAGCUGAAUUUUGAGAGGUUUUUAGGAAAAAUAAUCUGAAUAAUUCAGUGUUUAGAUGGAGAGUGGGAAAGGGUCAAGGUCAUUCCAGAUUUUUGUCUUAGUUAAUUAGAUAGACAAUGAUGUAAAUGUCCAAAAUAGGGGAAGAGUUUGGGGGUGUGACUGAUGAGUUCAGUUUUAUUUACAUCUUGAUUUAUAGAUACCAGGCUUGACAGUGGAAUAUAUGGGUCUGAGUUCAAGCAGCACUAAAGUGAAAGUUAUUGGACUCUAUAUUACCUAGGCAUAAAUGAAAAUGACUAGAUGAGAUUAUUUCAAGAGAGUAUAUAGUGAAAUAUAUCUCAGUGAAAAACUUGGUGGAACAUAAAAGUGUUAAGGAGCAGAUAAAGAGAAUUCAAAAAGGAGAUAAAUUAUGGCUAGACAGACAAGAGAAAAAUCAUCUGGAGGAAAUGGAAUUAUGAAAGUCAGGUGAGUCGACUGCAUCAGGAAACUCACUAUAAAGGGUGGAGGCAUUAUGAUUGAAAAGUGUCCAUUGAAUUUGGCAUUCAAGAGGCCAUGGAUGAUUUUCGUGACGGCAGGAUUAGAGGUGUAGGGAUUAGACACCAGAACAAGAGAGUUGUGAAUAAAUGGAAGGUAAGAACAAGAGCGAAAUUAGAGUUCAGACCCUUCUGAUUUAGAAUGACUUUGAGGACAACAUAAUAGAUUGGCAGUUUGUUAGAAAGACAGAAUCUCAGACCCCACCCCACUACUGAAUUAAAAUCUUUAUUUUAAAAAGAUUCAAAUGACUCUUAUUUUAACAUUAAAGUUUGAGAAACUCUGGUUUAGAAUAGACUUUCAAAAAGAUAGCUGAGAAUGAAAGGAGAUAGAGUACUAGAGGGACAGGGAUAGGGAUAGUUUUUAGGGUGACAGGUGUGUGGAUGUACUUGCAGGCUAAGGAAAAUGAGCCUUUAGAGGAACUGGGGCUGAAAGAAGGAACAGAAAAGUCCUUAACAAAACAAGUGUGUUUGAGGUGGCUCAGAACGUGAGAUUGAGUAGCAGCAGUGAAAGGAGGCUUAGUUUGAACAGAAGGAUAAACAUCUCUUCCUCUAGGAGAAGAGAAUAGGAGAGAACGAAAUGGCUUCUAUUUCAUCACAAAAGUGGGAUAGGAGAGAACGAAUGGCUUCUAUUUCAUCACAAAAGUGGAAGAGAAGGAAACUUUAUGAGAGCAUAGGCAAUUCAAUUACAUAGUGUUUGAAAAUAGGUCUGGAAUAACUCCUUAAGGUAAUGGGAGAACUAAACAUCCAGAGGAAUUACAACUUUAUAAAGUACUUCUAAAGGUUUAAUUGAGAUUGGGAGUCAUGAAUGUGAACAGAGUAAUCCACUUUUCCCAGUGAUUUUCAUAGGUGUGAAAGUAAUGAAAUAGCCUCACCUAGAUGCUCACUCUGCCACACCUAGGUCACCUUACCCACCUGGUACCCACAUCAGCCUGCAGCAUUUGUGCCUGUAAAUAUUCACACUCAAGAAAAACUGAUCCUCUUGGAAGUCCACCCAACUUCCCCUAAAAUCAAUUACUCACCCUCUGUGCUUCCAUGGCAUUUUACUUCUACUUACCUUACGAGGUUUUCAGUUUGACUUGUGUUCCAGUCAACUAUGAAUGUACUUGUUCUCUGUCCAGAUAAUGAGCAUUUGGGUCAGAUAUCAAAUUUAACUAGUUUGUUUUUUGUUGUUUUUUGGGGGGAGAUGGAUUUUUUUGGAAUAAGAACCCACUAUUGUGUCUAGAAUAUUCUUGAAUCUCAAUUGUCAAGUGAUUUACACAAUCUUUUUCUGUUCCAGGCAGUAACUUGAAUUCUCGUCCUAUGUCUUAUUUUACUUUGUGUUUCCAGCAGCUGGUAUAACAUGAAGACAGCUUAGAUGGAGAGCAGCCUCAGCUCCUGCACAGGGUUACCUAGAAGAACUGGAUGGUUAAUGUCCCAAUGAACAGUCUUCAACAGUUGACAAAUAUCUGUGGAUGAACACCUCGGCUUAUUUUCCCCUUGAUCAUGUAUCAUUGUCAGAAACAGUGAGAUAAUGAUAUUAAGGUCUUGUCCCUGAUUCUGUCACACCCUGAAUGCUGGUUGCAACAUACUGAGGAUCCAGACAAAGGUUGUUCAUCAUUUCCAUCCCAGGUCUUGUGGAUGUUAAGGCAAGUCUCCCAGAUUCUAUUUGCAUGAAUGCUCUUAGUUCCCUUCCAUACAAUAGUGAAUGGGAAUGACGGCCUGGUUCCCAGAAAGCAAACUGACACCUUCAACCAAGGAAGGAGAAAGCACGGCUGUUCCAACAUUUUUAGGAGGGCAUGUCAAAAGAAAAAAGAAAAAGAAUACCCAAUAAUAAGGAAAAGGGUCAUCCCUAGCUAGAGGUAAUAUGCAUCAGUGAGCAGGAUACAUUACUAAUAGGCGUGCAAGAGUAAUGGAAGACCAGGUCUAGAAAGACAAGAUUGUCAGGAAACCAGCACCAAUUAGAUGUUCCCAAAUAGAAUCGAUUGUGCUAGUGUUACAAGAAGGCUGAGUAUAUAUCUGCAUGUGUGUGUGGAAGCCUAUUUGAGGGAUUUUUUUUUUUUUCAUUUUUUAAAGUUUUAUUGAAGUCUAGUUGA
Non-coding RNA from Sus scrofa (pig), 4120 nucleotides. NCBI's taxonomy places the organism in Eukaryota, Metazoa, Chordata, Mammalia, Artiodactyla, Suidae. The record is from RefSeq and is a predicted model, not a curated record.